RNAcentral lists this ribosomal RNA (893 nucleotides) under uncultured organism. Its description in RNAcentral is "bacterial SSU rRNA". It matches the Rfam family "Bacterial small subunit ribosomal RNA", at positions 550 to 1429 of the family's 1533-position model. The record is from RNAcentral.
AUCACUGGGCGUAAAAGGGCACGCAGCGGACCUGGUCAAGCGGUCUUGUGAAAGCCCCCGGCUUAACCGGGGAAUUUCUGGGCGAACUGGCAGUCUUGAGGCAAGGUAAGGGCGAGCGGAACUCUUGGUGGAGCGGUGGAAUGCGUAGAUAUCAAGAGGAACGCCGGAGGCGAAAGCGGCUCGCUGGGCCUGACCUGACGCUGAGGUGCGAAAGCCAGGGGAGCGAACGGGAUUAGAUACCCCGGUAGUCCUGGCCAUAAACGAUGUCCACUAGAUCGGUGAACUUCUGACAGUGCGCCGGUCGAAACAAAAGCGUUAAGUGGACCGCCUGGGGAGUACGGUCGCAAGGCUAAAACUCAAAGGAAUUGACGGGGGCUCACACAAGCGGUGGAGCAUGUUGCUUAAUUCGAUGCAACGCGAAGAACCUUAUCCUGGACUUGACAUGUUAGGAUGCCUCCCUGGAAACAGGGUUGGUUGCCCUUCGGGGUGAAACUUUCACAGGUGCUGCAUGGCUGUCGUCAGCUCGUGUCGUGAGAUGUUGGGUUAAGUCCCGUAACGAGCGAAACCCUUGUCGUUAGUUGCCAGCGCGUAAUGGCGGGGACUCUAGCGAGACUGCCGGUGUUAAACCGGAGGAAGGUGGGGAUGACGUCAAGUCCUCAUGGCCUUUAUGUCCAGGGCUGCAAACGUGCUACAAUGGCGUGUACAAACCGACGCAAGACCGCGAGGUGGAGCAAAUCGGAAAAAGCACGCCCCAGUUCGGAUUGGAGUCUGCAACUCGACUCCAUGAAGUCGGAAUCGCUAGUAAUCGCGUAUCAGCUCGACGCGGUGAAUGUGUUCCUGAGCAUUGUACACACCGCCCGUCAAGUCAUGGAAGCUGGGAGCGCCCGAAGUCG